GACAGAGGGUGCAACCGUUGUUCGGAAUUACUGGGCGUAAAGCGCGUGUAGGCUGCUCGGAAAGUCGGAUGUGAAAGCCCUGGGCUCAACCUAGGAAGUGCAUCCGAAACUUCUGAGCUGGAGUGCUGGAGAGGAAGGCGGAAUUCUCGGUGUAGAGGUGAAAUUCGUAGAUAUCGAGAGGAACACCGGUGGCGAAGGCGGCCUUCUGGACAGUAACUGACGCUGAGACGCGAAAGCGUGGGGAGCAAACAGG
RNAcentral lists this ribosomal RNA (253 nucleotides) under uncultured bacterium. RNAcentral describes it as "partial 16S ribosomal RNA". It matches the Rfam family "Bacterial small subunit ribosomal RNA", at positions 524 to 776 of the family's 1533-position model. The record is from RNAcentral.